Molecule: ribosomal RNA, 460 nt
Filed under: uncultured bacterium
Lineage: Bacteria
Description: partial 16S ribosomal RNA
Rfam family: Bacterial small subunit ribosomal RNA
Source: RNAcentral
CCUACGGGAGGCAGCAGUGAGGAAUAUUGGGCAAUGGACGAGAGUCUGAACCAGCCAAGUAGCGUGAAGGAUGACUGCCCUAUGGGUUGUAAACUUCUUUUAUAAAGGAAUAAAACGAGGCACGUGUGCCUGUUUGCAUGUACUUUAUGAAUAAGGAUCGGCUAACUCCGUGCCAGCAGCCGCGGUAAUACGGAGGAUCCGAGCGUUAUCCGGAUUUAUUGGGGUUAAAGGGAGCGUAGAUGGGUUGUUAAGUCAGUUGUGAAAGUUUGCGGCUCAACCGUAAAAUUGCAAUUGAUACUGGCAGUCUUGAGUACAGUUGAGGUAGGCGGAAUUCGUGGUGUAGCGGUGAAAUGCUUAGAUAUCACGAAGAACCCCGAUUGCGAAGGCAGCUUACUAAACUGUGACUGACAUUGAUGCUCGAAAGUGUGGGUAUCAAACAGGAUUAGAUACCCCAGUAGUC